GACGAACGCUGGCGGCGUGCUUAACACAUGCAAGUCGAACGGAAAGGCCCUGCUUUUGUGGGGUGCUCGAGUGGCGAACGGGUGAGUAACACGUGAGUAACCUGCCCUUGACUUUGGGAUAACUUCAGGAAACUGGGGCUAAUACCGGAUAGGAGCUCCUGCUGCAUGGUGGGGGUUGGAAAGUUUCGGCGGUUGGGGAUGGACUCGCGGCUUAUCAGCUUGUUGGUGGGGUAGUGGCUUACCAAGGCUUUGACGGGUAGCCGGCCUGAGAGGGUGACCGGCCACAUUGGGACUGAGAUACGGCCCAGACUCCUACGGGUGGCAGCAGUGGGGAAUAUUGCACAAUGGGCGGAAGCCUGAUGCAGCAACGCCGCGUGCGGGAUGACGGCCUUCGGGUUGUAAACCGCUUUCGCCUGUGACGAAGCGUGAGUGACGGUAAUGGGUAAAGAAGCACCGGCUAACUACGU
RNAcentral lists this ribosomal RNA (467 nucleotides) under uncultured bacterium. Its description in RNAcentral is "partial 16S ribosomal RNA". It matches the Rfam family "Bacterial small subunit ribosomal RNA", at positions 28 to 506 of the family's 1533-position model. The record is from RNAcentral.